This 497-nucleotide ribosomal RNA is filed under the name uncultured bacterium. Its description in RNAcentral is "partial 16S ribosomal RNA". It matches the Rfam family "Bacterial small subunit ribosomal RNA", at positions 28 to 507 of the family's 1533-position model. The record is from RNAcentral.
GAUGAACGCUGGCGGCGUGCCUAAUACAUGCAAGUCGAGCGAACAGACGAGGAGCUUGCUCCUCUGACGUUAGCGGCGGACGGGUGAGUAACACGUGGAUAACCUACCUAUAAGUCUGGGAUAACUUCGGGAAACCGGAGCUAAUACCGGAUAAUAUAUUGAACCGCAUGGUUCAAUAGUGAAAGACGGUGUUGCUGUCACUUAUAGAUGGAUCUGCGCCGCAUUAGCUAGUUGGUAAGGUAACGGCUUACCAAGGCAACGAGGCGUAGCCGACCGGAGAGGCGGAUCGGCCACAUUGGAACUGAGACACGGACCAGACUCCUAAGGGAGGCAGCAGUAGGGAAUGUUCCGCAAUGGGCGAAAGCAUGACGGAGCAACGCCGCGUGAGAGACGACGGUCUCCCGAGCGUAAAACCGGGUUAUUAGGGAAGAACAAAUGUGUAAGUAAAUAUGCACGUAUUGACGGUACCUAAUCAGAAAGCAACGGCUAACUACGUG